AUAAUGCCGCCCUGUCUUCUGUGGAGCUUAUAUCGAGUUAUCCGCUACUGAAUAUCGUGCUUAACCCUGUCAGUUGUUUCAACAUACGUGCAAGUUUGGAUUCACUUUGGAAAUGAUUCAUUUUUAAAGUCCAAGUAAAAAUAAAGAAGUUAAUCGACAAUAGACAUCCCUAAACAGAUUAUAAUUGGAGCAUGCGUGGUACGAGGGUUGAGGGUAAGAGGAUGACGACGACGGGGGUGAAGAGUGAGGAGCGGGGCGGUGCGGAGGGGUGCGCGUGUCACCCGCGGCGCCGCGAUGUUACGACGACAACGGACGUGAUCUUGACAUCGCGUAUGCACCUUCCAACAACACUUUAACACUACACAUAUUGCAAACAUUGAAUCUGUUAUCUAAAUAAGCCUUAUCGAUAAGUUAGGAAGUGUGAACUCAAAAUAAUAAAAUCGAUUCAAAAAGCCAUUCAACUUUAAAUAGUAGAUAGUUUAAACAUUGAAAAAAUGUUUGAGAGCUAACGAUUUGACAAGAAUUUUAAGGUGGGAUGGAUUUCUGGUUAAAACAAAGAUGAA
Long non-coding RNA from Bombyx mori (domestic silkworm), 563 nucleotides. RefSeq lists it as uncharacterized. The record is from RefSeq and is a predicted model, not a curated record. The transcript has 2 exons. NCBI's taxonomy places the organism in Eukaryota, Metazoa, Arthropoda, Insecta, Lepidoptera, Bombycidae.